RNAcentral lists this unclassified non-coding RNA (234 nucleotides) under Rhodotorula sp. Its description in RNAcentral is "partial contains small subunit ribosomal RNA, internal transcribed spacer 1, and 5.8S ribosomal RNA". The stretch from base 1 to 46 matches the Rfam family "Eukaryotic small subunit ribosomal RNA", at positions 1786 to 1831 of the family's 1831-position model. Lineage: Eukaryota; Fungi; Basidiomycota; Microbotryomycetes; Sporidiobolales; Sporidiobolaceae. The record is from RNAcentral.
AAGUCGUAACAAGGUUUCCGUAGGUGAACCUGCGGAAGGAUCAUUAGUGAAUUUUAGGGCGUCUACUUGUAGAGCCUGACCUCCACUCUCUAACACUGUGCACAUUUUGGCGGGUUAAGGAAAGACCAGAAAUGGUCCGCCCUAGACCUGCGGCUCAUUUUAUAACACCAGUCAAAGAAUGUAACGAAAUAUCGAAACAAAAAAAAACUUUCAACAACGGAUCUCUUGGCUCUC